GGCGCACGGGUGCGUAACGCGUAAGCAAUCUACCUUUUCACAGAGGGAUAGCCCAGAGAAAUUUGGAAUUAAUACCUCAUAGUAUGCAGAGUUGGCAUCAACACUGCAUUAAAGUCACAACGGUGAAAGAUGAGCAUGCGUCCCAUUAGCUAGUUGGUAAGGUAACGGCUUACCAAGGCUACGAUGGGUAGGGGUCCUGAGAGGGAGAUCCCCCACACUGGUACUGAGACAUGGACCAGACUCCUACGGGAGGCAGCAGUGAGGAAUAUUGGUCAAUGGGCGCAAGCCUGAACCAGCCAUGCCGCGUGCAGGAUGACGGUCCUAUGGAUUGUAAACUGCUUUUGUACAGGAAGAAACAGUUCUACGUGUAGAACCUUGACGGUACUGUAAGAAUAAGGAUCGGCUAACUCCGUGCCAGCAGCCGCGGUAAUACGGAGGAUCCAAGCGUUAUCCGGAAUCAUUGGGUUUAAAGGGUCCGUAGGCGGUUUAGUAAGUCAGUGGUGAAAGCCCAUCGCUCAACGGUGGAACGGCCAUUGAUACUGCUAGACUUGAAUUAUUAGGAAGUAACUAGAAUAUGUAGUGUAGCGGUGAAAUGCUUAGAGAUUACAUGGAAUACCAAUUGCGAAGGCAGGUUACUACUAAUGGAUUGACGCUGAUGGACGAAAGCGUGGGUAGCGAACAGGAUU
Molecule: ribosomal RNA, 686 nt
Filed under: uncultured Bacteroidota bacterium
Lineage: Bacteria; Pseudomonadati; Bacteroidota
Description: bacterial SSU rRNA
Rfam family: Bacterial small subunit ribosomal RNA
Source: RNAcentral